RNAcentral lists this unclassified non-coding RNA (253 nucleotides) under uncultured Halomonadaceae bacterium. RNAcentral describes it as "contains 16S-23S intergenic spacer region". It matches the Rfam family "Bacterial small subunit ribosomal RNA", at positions 524 to 776 of the family's 1533-position model. Lineage: Bacteria; Pseudomonadati; Pseudomonadota; Gammaproteobacteria; Oceanospirillales; Halomonadaceae. The record is from RNAcentral.
UACGGAGGGUGCGAGCGUUAAUCGGAAUUACUGGGCGUAAAGCGCGCGUAGGUGGUUUGAUAAGCUGGUUGUGAAAGCCCCGGGCUCAACCUGGGAACGGCAUUCGGAACUGUCAAGCUAGAGUACAGGAGAGGAAGGUAGAAUUCCCGGUGUAGCGGUGAAAUGCGUAGAGAUCGGGAGGAAUACCAGUGGCGAAGGCGGCUCUCUGGACAGAUACCGACACUGAGGUGCGAAAGCGUGGGUAGCAAACAGG